This 306-nucleotide unclassified non-coding RNA is filed under the name plant metagenome. RNAcentral describes it as "partial contains 5.8S ribosomal RNA, internal transcribed spacer 2, and large subunit ribosomal RNA". The stretch from base 1 to 105 matches the Rfam family "5.8S ribosomal RNA", at positions 50 to 154 of the family's 154-position model. The record is from RNAcentral.
GAAAUGCGAUAAGUAAUGUGAAUUGCAGAAUUCAGUGAAUCAACGAAUCUUUGAACGCACAUUGCGCCCGCCAGUAUUCUGGCGGGUAUGCCUGUCCGAGCGUCAUUUCAACCAUCAAGCCCCCGGGCUUGUGUUGGGGACCUGCGGCUGCCCGCAGGCCCUGAAAACCAGUGGCGGGCUCGCUGUCACACCGAGCGUAGUAGCAAUCACCUCGCUCAGGGCGUGCUGCGGGUUCCGGCCGUUAAACAGCCUUACAAAACCCAAGGUUGACCUCGGAUCAGGUAGGAAGACCCGCUGAACUUAAGC